This 1287-nucleotide ribosomal RNA is filed under the name Chrysocoris stollii. RNAcentral describes it as "16S ribosomal RNA". The stretch from base 852 to 1212 matches the Rfam family "Archaeal large subunit ribosomal RNA", at positions 2155 to 2712 of the family's 2987-position model. The record is from RNAcentral. Lineage: Eukaryota; Metazoa; Arthropoda; Insecta; Hemiptera; Scutelleridae.
AAUAAUUUUUAUUUAAUUAUUUUUAUUAUUUAUAUUAAUUUUAUUAGAAACAACUUUUAUUUAUAGUAUUAAGUUUAUGGAAAUAAUUAUUUUUAUUUAUAGUUUAUUUUACUGUAAAGGUUAAUUUUUAUUUAUUAUAGUGGAAGUAUUUUUUGUUUAUUGUACCUUUUGUAUCAGGGUUUGUCAAUAUAUUUAUAUUAAUUUAUAAUUUCCCGAAAUUAUAAGAGAUACUAUAUAUUUGUAUUUUAUUGUUUUAUAAAUAUUAAUAAAAUUAUAGUAGGGGAGAUAUUCUAUUCAAUUUUAAUUUAUCUGGUUUUUUAAUAAAUGAAUUUAAUUCAGAAUAAAUUUUAUUAAUAAUAAAAUUUAUUAUUAUUAAUUGAAUUUAUUUAAUGUUAUUAGGGAUAAGCUUAAUUACAUUUUUAUAAUUUUAUUAAUAUUUAAGGUUUAUAGGUUUAGCAACAUCCAUUAUUUACUUCGUUAUAGUUAUCCUUAAUAUAUUUAUUUAUUUUAUAUAAAUUUAAAUUAUUAUUAAAAUUUUUGAUUUAAUAAAUAAUUUUAAAGUAAUUAUGAUAAAAUUAGUAAUUUAUUUAUUUAAUAUAUAGUAACUCGGCAAUUAUUACGUUUGCCUGUUUAUCAAAAACAUGUCUUGAAUGUUUAUUUAUUUCAAGUCUGACCUGCUCAAUGAUUUAUUAUAUAAUUAAAUGGCCGCAGUAUUUUGACUGUGCGAAGGUAGCAUAAUCAUUUGUCUUUUAAUUGAAGGCUUGUAUGAAUGGUUUGACAAGAUGUAUCCUUUCUUUAUAUUAAAAUUAUUGAAUUUAAUUUUUAAGUCAAAAAGCUUAAAUUUAUUUAUAGGACGAGAAGACCCUAUAGAAUUUUAUUUAAUAAUUAGUAUUUUAUUUUUGUUUAAUUUAAUUAUUCUAUUAAUUAUUAAAUUUUGUUGGGGCGACAGGGAAAUUUUUUUAACUUUCUUUUUUUAUUUUUUAUUGAUUUAUAUUUUUUUGAUCCUGUUAUUAUGGAUAAAAAGAUUAAAUUACCUUAGGGAUAACAGCGUAAUUCCUUUUGAGAGUUCAUAUCGGUGAAGGAGUUUGCGACCUCGAUGUUGGAUUAAAAUAAGUAUAAUUAGUGCAGUAGCUUUAUUACUGGGUCUGUUCGACCCUUAAUUUUUUACAUGAUCUGAGUUCAGACCGGCGUGAGCCAGGUUGGUUUCUAUCCUUAAUUAUAUUUGACAUUUUAGUACGAAAGGACCAAAUGUCUCUAUCAUAUAGUUUAUUUAUUGAUUAUAUAUUA